AAAUUCAUUCUUUUUGCGAGCAAUUAUAUCUAAGAUAUGUAUGAAAAACUAAUGCACUGUUAAAAAUGAAAUCAAUUACAGGAUAGUUAAGAAAUUGGAUGUAAAGGAGUACAUAGAAUAGGGGGUGGUAUAAAUAUGUAAAAUUCAAAUUAAUUUCCAUAGAUAGGUGGUAAUUAUAUAUUGGAACAAAUUGUAUAUUAGUAUGAUGGAAUGCCAUUGAUCCAACUUCCACCAUCUUCAUUCUUUUGUUAAAGGUUGAAAUGGUUCUCGAGAACCUUUCCUGCGUGCGUCCUUAGUCGAGUUCUCAAGCUUGAUCCUUGCCAGGAUUAUUACAGCAGUUUUUUAGUUUUGUGUUCCUCUUUUGCGUCAGUUGCAUGGGAUUCCCCGAGGAAACCUUUAAUGACCCGCCAUCGGUGGAGAUUCUUGAAACCGGCCAGAGUAAAGCUGAUUGCUUUCUCUUUGAUCAAGCUGAGGUUUACGAGACUCGAUAAGCAUGACUCUGCAGAAACACAGGAUUUCGGGGAAUGAUUCGAUAUUUUUCUCCUUUUCAGAGACCGAUUCCACGGUGAAUGGGUCCUCCUCGAUGACUGUAUGCAGUUAAUGUUGCGGAUAAGAUUCAGCGAAUGUGUUGUUUCUAAAAGGAUUAUUAAUUAUGUAUAAUUCGUGAAUAUUUAGCAUGAUAGCGCGUAUUGAUUUUGUAAAUCGUACGAGUGGAGUUCUCUUCCCACGCAUUGAAAUCACCGAGGCGAAUUCGAGCAUUCGCUUCUCCGUAAACAGAAUACGAUACAAUUUCAAAACGAAAUACCAGUUAGGAAGUACGAACGUAUUGUAUACUCGGGUGAAAUUGAAAUAGAAAUCGUAUCAAUGAUUUGCCAACAUUUGUUACUAAACUAUGUUUCUUAUCUUUUAUAGAUUUUCAUACACUCCGUGGUUGAUGGAGGCAUUUUUUUACAGCUGGCCUUUUUAAUAAUUAAUGUGUUAAUAGAAAAGGAAACUGGUGUACCUUGCACUUGCGUCAUGCGCUUAAUAACAUCUAAUUACUGUAAAUGGGUUUAUGAAGUUGCAAAGAUUAUACGUAACAAUUAUUCAAAUUAAAUACGAGGAAAUAAAGAUCACGUAUCAAGUGGAAUUGGAAUGAAAACAUUUAUUUCGUCAAAUAAAUGGACUAUCCGUGUAUAUUUAGAUGUUGGUGAAGAUGCAAUUCAUACUUGUUAUUGAUGCUUCAUUUCAAUAUUCUAAUGACAAACGACGACAAAACCUUGCAGUUAUAGAUGAACAUCGAGCCACUGAAUAUCGGCGUUACUUUGUACCUGAGUCGAGAAAGCCAUACGUAUUAACGAGAUGCAUAAACACGGUUAUUUCGAAGAAUCGCUCACUAAUGUCGCCUCUGCAAUAAUAGUUCUGGAAAGUAAGAUAUCAUCAGAUCGUCUGAUCGAUUCGUUAAAAAUUUACAUUCGAAUAAGCGAUUAAUAUUUGCGUUACAACAUACCUUUUUAUUGAGGCAAUAUAGAUAAAUCAAUAUCUGAGAUUUUAAGGUUUUGUGUACCAUAACCAUUUCCAAUUAAUGAA
Osmia bicornis bicornis is the source of this 1569-nucleotide long non-coding RNA. RefSeq lists it as uncharacterized. Lineage: Eukaryota; Metazoa; Arthropoda; Insecta; Hymenoptera; Megachilidae. The transcript has 3 exons. The record is from RefSeq and is a predicted model, not a curated record.